This 426-nucleotide ribosomal RNA is filed under the name uncultured microorganism. Its description in RNAcentral is "bacterial SSU rRNA". It matches the Rfam family "Bacterial small subunit ribosomal RNA", at positions 9 to 424 of the family's 1533-position model. The record is from RNAcentral.
GAGUUUGAUCGUGGCUCAGAAUGAACGCUGGCGGCGUGCCUAACACAUGCAAGUCGAGCGGUAAGGCCCCUUCGGGGGUACACGAGCGGCGAACGGGUGAGUAACACGUGGGUAACCUACCCAGAAGUGAGGGAUAGCCUCGGGAAACCGGGGGGUAAUACCGCAUGUGUCCUGGUCGGCGGAAGCUGGUCAGGAGAAAGAUGGGGAUCCUUCGGGACCUGUCGCUUCUGGAUGGGCCCGCGGCCGAUUAGCUAGUUGGUGAGGUAAUGGCUCACCAAGGCGACGAUCGGUAGCCGGCCUGACGAGGGUGAUCGGCCACACUGGGACUGAGACACGGCCCAGACUCCUACGGAGGCAGCAGUGGGAAUAUGGGCAAUGGGCGCAAGCCUGACCCAGCGACGCCGCGUGGGGAUGAAGGCCUCGGUU